UCAAACUUGGUCAUUUAGAGGAAGUAAAAGUCGUAACAAGGUUUCCGUAGGUGAACCUGCGGAAGGAUCAUUGCAAAUCAGCGGAGAUGGUGUGAGUGGGUGUUUGGUUGGUCAUUGAUUGAUCAUUGCUCAUUCAUAUUCCAUUUCCAUAUAUGCACAGUGUGUUUGAGUGUGGGUUACUUGCUAAUUCUCAUUCGCCACGCUGAUGUUUACGCUUGUUUGUUUGACAAAUCAUAUUUUCACAAAUUAAUCAAAACUUUUAACAACGGAUCUCUUGGCUCUUGCAUCGAUGAAGAACGCAGC
RNAcentral lists this unclassified non-coding RNA (303 nucleotides) under uncultured fungus. RNAcentral's name for it is "partial contains small subunit ribosomal RNA, internal transcribed spacer 1, and 5.8S ribosomal RNA". The stretch from base 1 to 73 matches the Rfam family "Eukaryotic small subunit ribosomal RNA", at positions 1759 to 1831 of the family's 1831-position model. Lineage: Eukaryota; Fungi. The record is from RNAcentral.